RNAcentral lists this ribosomal RNA (502 nucleotides) under Bacillus sp. BACT-8. Its description in RNAcentral is "bacterial SSU rRNA". It matches the Rfam family "Bacterial small subunit ribosomal RNA", at positions 65 to 547 of the family's 1533-position model. The record is from RNAcentral. Lineage: Bacteria; Bacillati; Bacillota; Bacilli; Caryophanales; Bacillaceae.
AGCGAAUGGAUUAAGAGCUUGCUCUUAUGAAGUUAGCGGCGGACGGGUGAGUAACACGUGGGUAACCUGCCCAUAAGACUGGGAUAACUCCGGGAAACCGGGGCUAAUACCGGAUAACAUUUUGAACCGCAUGGUUCGAAAUUGAAAGGCGGCUUCGGCUGUCACUUAUGGAUGGACCCGCGUCGCAUUAGCUAGUUGGUGAGGUAACGGCUCACCAAGGCAACGAUGCGUAGCCGACCUGAGAGGGUGAUCGGCCACACUGGGACUGAGACACGGCCCAGACUCCUACGGGAGGCAGCAGUAGGGAAUCUUCCGCAAUGGACGAAAGUCUGACGGAGCAACGCCGCGUGAGUGAUGAAGGCUUUCGGGUCGUAAAACUCUGUUGUUAGGGAAGAACAAGUGCUAGUUGAAUAAGCUGGCACCUUGACGGUACCUAACCAGAAAGCCACGGCUAACUACGUGCCAGCAGCCGCGGUAAUACGUAGGUGGCAAGCGUUAUCCG